Aphis gossypii (cotton aphid) is the source of this 1541-nucleotide long non-coding RNA. RefSeq lists it as uncharacterized. NCBI's taxonomy places the organism in Eukaryota, Metazoa, Arthropoda, Insecta, Hemiptera, Aphididae. The transcript has 2 exons. The record is from RefSeq and is a predicted model, not a curated record.
UACCUAUAUUUAUUGGCGUACAAAAAAAAAAACACCUGGCAAGCAACGGGACAAUUUUUUCACCUGAUGGAUAACGAUUUACAUUAUGUGAUGACUAAUAGGCAAUAGCUAGACACUCAACUACCAUUUUUCGUAUUAAUUUAUUUUUAUAUUUAAUUUAAAUCUAAAAAGUUAAAAGAACCGGGAAAACGUUAUUGAAACAACCAUUUACAUUUACACCAAAUGAUAAUAUAAGUUUUAUAGAAUAAAAAAAUAACUGAAAAAAAAAUAAUAAUUGAAUGUACACAAACACGACAUCGACUUUAGUACUUUUCCUAAUUUUUUAGUAUAUGAUUUUUUUUCUAGAAAUCUGGUUAACAUUUCCGAACGAAUUUGAGGUGAAACGAUUUUCACUCUAUCACCUCAAAGGCGUAGGAAGUGGCUUCCAAACACCCGCAAUCGACUUUCAUACAUGCCGUUAUAUAAUGAUAAUAAUAUGUGCACUUGCUCAUUAUCGUAAAAUAAUUUUAUUGAAAAUAUAUUUGUCCAUAGAAUUAUUGAAUCAAUAGUUUAUAUUAUAAUAUUAAAAUAUAAAAUAAAAAAGACCACUUAAAAGUUUAAGACGGGUACAAUACGAAUCGAAAUACUUGAAAUCCUCGUUAAACAUUAUUAUAUAAUAGGUAUUAUCGGGUAAAUAAUAAUAAUAACGUUUGAAAAAGUAAAUGGUCUUUGGUCCCUCGGAAUCUUAAUGUCAGCUGUUUAAAAUAGAUGAACGUUAUUGCUGGCUAAUAAUAAACAACGCUGUACCCAUUGUCCGGUGUCGUUUAAUAUAAGUCUCUAUGUAAUCCGCUGCGUCGAACGAUUAAUCAAGUGAUUUCCAUUUUUAAGUUCACGAGACAUUCGUCACGUAGACACACGACAGACAACGUUGUAGCAGCAUUUUGCCGGCCAAGGGACAAAACGAACUAAUCAAAAAACCAAAGAGGAAAAAACAAUACAUCGGCAGGACAACUAGGCGGAGACGCCGCCGUAGUGCAGAUACCGCAAGGCCGGAAUCGUUGACCGUGGCCGUUACCGCGACAGUCUUCCGUUAUCGUUCCGCUCGACCGGAGCUGCAGAAGACCUUCACCUGCCGUCACGAAAGUCGAGACCAUCGUCGAGUUCCGCGGGACCGGCUGCGAGUAUACGUCGCAGAGGCGACUUGCGCGAUGGGCUAUAACGAUUCGCUUUUACACUGCUUAUCUGCUCCGUCUAAAUGUUAAAUAGCAUCGUCACAAAAUGGGUACAUUACCUAACCUAACCUAACCUAACCUACCGAUACGUAGGUGGUAGUAACACCAAGAAGACGACGGGAUUGUACGGGUUUGUGGUGCGUGAAUUGUCGGCUCGUGAUGUUUUUUUAAAUCCUCGAACUGAACUGACAGUGAGUGGACGAUGUCCUCCAGUGCACAGAGGCGUACGUCAAUUGAACGAGGCGCGUCAGCGACCAUUUAAACAAUAUAAUAUUGAAGUGUGUUUCUUGUGCCAUUGUUUGUGGCAAACUAAUAAACUUUUCUCCCCGA